GUAACAAGUUGACAAGUGGGUGUGUGCAUGUGCGCAUGUGUGUGGGUGUGUGAUUGUGUGCAGCAGCAAAGCCUUAAACAUGGACAUUUCUAUGAAACGUGCUGGCUGGUAAAGAAAAAGUGGGAAUGUGUUGGAGGGACUUCUGAAGAAUUUGAAAUAAUAGUAUCCUUUUUCUUAAUCCGACAAUUAAUGGGAUCUCCUGUACUUAUUGAUAAUUUAUUCCUCCUUCCACCAACAAUAAGCGAAAACAGUAAUGAGAAAAUAAUGUAGACAUUUGGUGCGCAGCAGGAAGCCCCACCCCUCAUUUAACCCGUGAUAACAUUUUUAUCUAUGAAGCAGAAGGUGGUGGACAAACGGUAACAACACGCCCUCCAGUCAACCAGAAAGGUGUGGAUGUACUUUACAAAGUACUGCAUGUAGUGCUUUAGCAGUAGUACUACACAUUAAAAAAGAAAAGGACAACAAUAGACAGAAUGUGGAGGAGGAAGGAUUAUCAAAUCGACUGUUGAAAGUCUGGGGACUUACAUGACUUUCAUCUGACAAAAAGUACUUUUUCAUCUGGCUGACAUACAGUAGUGACAUGUACAAAGCUCUGAGCUACGUACAUCACAUCUGAUGUGAGCUAUCUAAACAAUAAAACCACUAGUUGGGGAUGCAACAUAUUCCACAUGGGGAUUACAAUAACCGCAAUCUGUGAUUUGGAUUCAGACCAAACGUUUUUGAAUCCUGUACCGAUUGUUGAUGAAACCAACAUAAAACAAGGUUUUAGUAACACAAAUACAGUCAAAAAUUGGACAUCAUUUCUCAUCAAAUUCAAAGAGAAAGUGUGUCUGGUACGGUACAUCAAAACAUCUCCACUGCAGAGCUUCUGCUCACAAUUACAAUUACAAAGUAACCUGGAUUUAAAUCCACCUCUGUAAUUUAAGUAACGUACUUAGGGCCAAUACCAUAUGAUAAAUCAAUCUUUUUUUCACGGCGCCACUGUGUUGGCAUACAUUGGAAUGAAUGGGGCUGCUGAAAGCUGUCUGAAUAACAAUUUAGGGCCCAAGCAUCUAAUGAUCUAACGAUUAUUAUUAGGACCGAGAGCCCUAUCACACCGUGUUCUGAAAGAUUAUUGUUCACCACUACAAUUGCACAUUUGAGAACUUUGGCAGGUUCAAAAACUCUAAAUUUGGCUUGCACAUCUGAACUGUGAAGAAUUUUGAUAGAGUCGGAGUUGCGUAUUAGGGUAUCAAGAAAUGGCUCUAUGUCGCCCCCCAAAUAAUUUGGCACUUUUGCCCAUUAGCAACGAUGGUUUUCGCAGACUUCUCCCAGAAGCUGAGUCUGAUUCUCACAAAACUUCAUGGUUCAAUGGCAUUUAAAGUUAUCAGAGGCCUGUUGAUAUCUCAUUGGGGUUAGAGGUUUUGGACCUAUGAACUUCUGAGGGGUGUGGCCUAAUCUGAAAGACGCAAAACUUCCAAAUGACUUUUCUUGUCCUCACCAAAUCUGUAGCAUAUGUCAACAUGACACGAGUUGGGAGGGGGAAUGUUUUGUUCGAGGACAUAUACACAAAAUAAGAGAAAAUGUAGAAAUAAAUAUUUAUAAAACAAUACAUUUAUAAAUAAAUAAUAACCAGACAGCUAAAACUUUAACUGGACAAGAUCCAAUAAAGGAACUUUUACUCAAACGUUUUCACACACAAUACACAUUUAGGGACACUACAUAACCAACCUACCGUGUUGAAGACUUUACACAGGCAGCUGAUUCCCACAGGCCUCAGUAAAGUCCACUAGUUAGAGGGGGAUCCCCUGUCCAUGAAGACAUGUGUGGUCCCUCCAUCAUCCUUUUCUCCCUCCCCCUCCAUGGCACUGUUUCACUGGCUGAGGCUCCCCUCCAACAAUCAGGGCCUUCAUGGGGGCCAUAAUGACAAAAUGAAAGCCAGUUGUGAGUCUGUGGAGGUUUUAAUGACUUUCAGAGCUGCUGUGGAAAUUCUGGGCUCAGUCCAAACACUCACUGCCGUGCUGAGAGACAAAGAAACUCAUAGGAGCAUUGCAGGGUUGAUGCUGAGGUUUUUCUUGCAGCAGAACUUUUCUAGUGUCUGUUUAUGUUGUCAUUAUUCAUGGUUUUAUUGGAAAUGGAGAGUGUGAUGAAGAAAGGUAGUACAGAACAGUUGUGCACAAAAAACUUUUUUUUAAAGCCAGAGAUGUGAUCAAAACGGAUGGCUAAGAUACAUUGGCAAUAUCGAAGCAAAAAGAUUGCAAGAUCAAUUGCUCAUAUUUGUUAUUGACUUUGUGUUGAGGCACACAAACGACAGGAGCGUCCUGCCAAUGGACUGGAAGAUGAAGCUGUGAUCUGUUUUUUUGGACCAGCCCUGCUGCUGGAAAACAGGAAAAUGUUGUAGAUAUUUUUAUUCAGCUAGCAGUUUAAAGUCAGAUUUAAAUUUAAAACAAACAGUGGGGCAUCUCAAUUUUUUACCAUUGGAUGACAAAAUUUAUUAUGGCCAUUCGUGAGAUAAGUGCUGUGCAGCCAUUGAUUAAUGCAUUCUUUCCUUUAACAUCAAUGUUCUUGGAAAGAAGAAGACAUUUUUAGUAGUAUAUUACACAUACAAGAAAUUGUUCCCAUUGGUCCCACGGAGUGGGAGCAGUGGGCUGCCGUAAGGGUGCCCAGCGAGCAGUUAGGGGUUAGGUGUCGUGCUCAGGGACACUUCAACACGGGACAUGGGGCAGCCAGGAUUCGAGCCAACCUUGCGGUUCCUGGCGCACCCACUCUACUCCAUGCGCCACGGUCGCCCUCUAAAAGAGGUGCUUCCAAACAUUUAAUAUUACAAUUCAAUGUGAGUUUUAGUCCGAAAUAUGUAUAGGCUCCGAAAACAUUGGAUCCAAUAUUUUCCACAAUGCAAUUAGCUACAUGCAUUAACUACAUGCACCAAGUUAGAUGCUGUUGGAGUGGAACAGAUUCUAGCAGGCCUACCCAUCUCAGCCAUGGAGAGACAUGGUAGCAGAGAGAGGGAAAGAGGCUCAACGAGACUGGGGUUCGAUAGUGUCACCAUUCAGAUCAAAUAUCAAACAAGGCAAAGCCAGCUCUCCCCUCUAGGCCGGCUGGAAUAAGUGCGCUGAAGUGAAAUGGUUUUUUUUAGCUCUAGGAGUUCAGGUUGGGAGGUCAGGUGUAGCCUAACAAAUACAUGUGCUAAUGUUUUGGUAUUUUACUGCGUUCACACGCAGCUUUGUGCAUUGACUGGGUUUGUUGGACAGCAUAGAAUUGAGAACUAAUCUUGUACAAGUUAACCUGAUUUCUGUACCUUUACACUGAAAAAAGACCUCUUCAAAGUCAACGAAUAGAAGGCGAUUUGGAGUCACCAAUUAACCUGAUCCCCAAAGCAUGUCGUUAGACUGUGGGAGGAAGCCACAGUACCCGGACAGAACCCAGGCAGACAUGGGAUGAACAUGUAGCCUCCUAAAGGCCGCUAGGUGGAGUCAAACCCAGGAUCGUCUUGCUGAGAGGCGACAGCGCUAACCACCACACCACCUGCCGCUCCUGAGCUACUUCCAUCAUUCUAGGUAUAUUUGAAUGGACUCAGGACGCUGUGCAGCACCUCCUCCGCCUCCCUCAGGUUUCCGCCAGUGCCACUGAACAUUCAAUAGACUUUCGUAUAUUGGCCAGAGUCCGGGAGAGAGCGCUGAAGGGGGUUUAUCUCAACAGUCUUGGGGACGGAUGGAAUGAUGAGCUAGCCUUUUAGAGGCUGCCUAACACUAGUGGACCUUAUUGCUCUCACAAUCCAACUGGAUACUUGGAUGCGGCAGCGUCGGAGAGCCGAACUACAGGGUUCCAUCACCAGUUCAUUCACAGAGUGGCCGAUCCCCUCCAGCCAGAAGAAACUCCAGGAGUUCCUUGGCUUUGCAAAUUUCUACCGUUCAUUCGAAACUAUAGCCAGACGGCGUUGCCCCUAACUCGACUCACCUCCCCUACGGUGGAAUUUUCGUGGAUCCCCAAAGCCUGCCUGUAACGGAAUGGUUCACUUCAGCCCCCAUCCCCGCCCUGCCAGACGAAAGUCGCCAGUUUUUGGUCAAGUGGGACGCCUCCGACACCAGCGUAAAGGCAGUGUUAUCCCAACACUCAACCCCUGACUCUAAGCUCUGCCUGUGUGCUUUUUUCUACCGCCCCCUUUACCUGUACGUGCGUCACUGGCUCUGGAGGACUGAAGACAUUGGCUGGAGGGGUCAGUCCACACUUCCAUUGUGUGGACCGACCACCGAAAUCUUGAGCCUCACACAGACCUCGUGUUGGAUUACUACAACCGGUUCCUGUUCCCCACAUGCCCUGGUCGCACAUGGCACUGGACUUUGUCACAGGAUUUCCCUCGUUGGAUAACAAUACAGUUAUGCUGAUCCUUGUGGAAGACGAUUGCCAUCCCGUAUGUUCAGAGCAAUUUUCGCUGAUGUUCUACUUCGGGAACAAACAGCUAGCCGACCGCCGCAGCACACCCGUCCCCACAUACCUCCCCAGCCAACGUGUCUGGCUUUCCGCUAAGGACAUACCCCUGCGCACUGAAUCUAAGAAACUCUCUCCCAGAUACAUUGGUCCUUUCCCCAUUACUUCAAUUGUCAACCCACUCACAGUUAAAUUGUGAUUGCUCUUGCAAUCCCUGAGGAUCCACCAGUGUUCCAUGUGUCCCUUCUGAAGCCGUCAUCGACGUCGCCUGGAUGUCCGCCGGCAAGACAGGGGUCUAAUACCCUGUAGUUUGGUGUCCUCCGAGUCCCGCCCAUUGCCCCACCUUCCUCCGUUGCCGCAGCUGUGUCUCAUCUCCCGGCUCCGUGAUUUUUACACCCAAAUCAUUUUCCAUCCUGUG
Molecule: long non-coding RNA, 4825 nt
Organism: Gasterosteus aculeatus aculeatus (three-spined stickleback)
Lineage: Eukaryota; Metazoa; Chordata; Actinopteri; Perciformes; Gasterosteidae
Source: Ensembl